GUGGGGAAUAUUGGGCAAUGGGCGCAAGCCUGACCCAGCAACGCCGCGUGAAGGAAGAAGGCUUUCGGGUUGUAAACUUCUUUUACCAGGGACGAAACAAAUGACGGUACCUGGUGAAUAAGCCACGGCUAACUACGUGCCAGCAGCCGCGGUAAUACGUAGGUGGCGCGCGUUAUCCGGAUUUAUUGGGUGUAAAGGGCGUGUAGGCGGGACAGCAAGUCAGAUGUGAAAACCAGAGGCUCAACCUCUGGCCUGCAUUUGAAACUGUUGUUCUUGAGUGUCGGAGAGGUAAUCGGAAUUCCGUGUGUAGCGGUGAAAUGCGUAGAUAUAGGGAGGAACACCAGUGGCGAAGGCGGCUUUCUGGACGGUGUCUGACACUGAGGCGCGAAAGCCAGGGGAGCGAACGGGAUUAGAAACCCUUGUAGUCC
RNAcentral lists this ribosomal RNA (428 nucleotides) under uncultured bacterium. RNAcentral's name for it is "partial 16S ribosomal RNA". It matches the Rfam family "Bacterial small subunit ribosomal RNA", at positions 354 to 796 of the family's 1533-position model. The record is from RNAcentral.